This 447-nucleotide ribosomal RNA is filed under the name uncultured bacterium. RNAcentral describes it as "partial 16S ribosomal RNA". It matches the Rfam family "Bacterial small subunit ribosomal RNA", at positions 329 to 793 of the family's 1533-position model. The record is from RNAcentral.
UGCCAGACUCCUACGGGAGGCAGCAGUGGGGAAUAUUGCACAAUGGGGGAAACCCUGAUGCAGCGACGCCGCGUGAGCGAAGAAGUACCUCGGUAUGUAAAGCUCUCUCAGCAGGGAAGAAGAUGACGGUACCUGACCAAGAAGCUCCGGCUAAAUACGUGCCAGCAGCCGCGGUAAUACGUAUGGAGCAAGCGUUAUCCGGAUUUACUGGGUGUAAAGGGAGCGCAGGCGGCCUUGCAAGUCUGAUGUGAAAGGCCGGGGCCCAACCCCGGGACUGCCCUUGGAACUGCUUGGCUGGAGUGCGGGAGGGGCAGGCGGAAUUCCUGGUGUAGCGGUGAAAUGCGUAGAUAUCAGGAGGAACACCGGCGGCGAAGGCGGCCUGCUGGACCGCGACUGACGUUGAGGCUCGAAAGCGUGGGGAGCGAACAGGAUUAGAUACCCCUGUAC